GACUUAGAGUGAAAAAUAAUUCUAGAAAAGUUUCACUAGGUAAGUAUGCAAAUUCUUAUUCUAAAAAUACUUCUUUAAGUGCAUGAAGCUUCAUGUAUUUUGCAAUAUUCUUGGCCUCAAUAUCUACCACCUAUUUUUUAACCAGACAAAUUUGAAUGUAUCAAGAUAAUUUGGUGCAAGAGAGUAACAUCCAUAUGUAUUUAAUCCAAGCUUUGAGGAACAUUAAGAUUUAAGGAUUAUAAAACUUGGCUGAUUUCCAUGCAACCAGUAAAAGGUUUUGCACAUCAUUUGACAGUAGAAAUAAAAAAACACUAAAUUUACAAAUAAAGCAUUGAGUUUGAUGUCUAUUCGUGUAUAUGUGUGUGUUCUUGUGAUGAAAUAGGCCUGCCUUUCAUCUUUUCUUUAAAAAAAAUAAAUGUUUACAAAACAUUUCCCUCAGAUUUUAAAAUUCAUGGAAGUAAUAAACAGUAAUAAAAUAUGGAUACUAUGAAAACUGACACACAGAAAAACAUAACCAUAAAAUAUUGUUCCAGGAUACAGAUAUUAAUUAAGAGUGACUUCGUUAGCAACACGUAGACAUUCAUACAUAUCCGGUGGAAGACUGGUUUCUGAGAUGCGAUUGCCAUCCAAACGCAAAUGCUUGAUCUUGGAGUAGGAUAAUGGCCCCAGGAUCUUGCAGAAGCUCUUUAUGUCAAACUUCUCAAGUUGAUUGACCUCCAGGUAAUAGUUUUCAAGGUUUUCAUUGACAGUUGGUAUGUUUUUAAGCUUGUUAUAGGACAGAUCCAGCUCAACCAGGGAUGACACAUUGAAAGAAUUUCCAGGUAUUCCACUAUCAGCCAGUUCGUUGUGAGAUAAACGCAGAUACUGCAAUGCAUUAAAACGCUUGAAAUACUCAUCAGGGAUGUUGCUGAUCUUAUUGUUGUCUAAGUAGAGAGUUAGAAGAGAGACAGGGAGACCAGAAGGCAGUCUGGCUAUCUGAUUGAAGCUCAAGUCAAGGUAUUCGAGUGAUUUAAGACCUUUAAAAGCAGCUGAAACAGCAUCCUCUUUCAGCCGAUUGUGCUGGAGAUGGAUGAAGGUCAGGUUUACCAAUCCUUCAAAAGAGCCCAGCUUUGUGAUCUUGUUAUGAGUAAGCUGCAGAUCCUCCAGAGAUUUGGGAAGUGGGCCCACAGACUCUGUCAGGUUGUUGUGGUUUAUAUGCAGCUUCUUCAGUUGUUUCAAUUUAGAGAAAACUCUCCCUUUUAUCUUGGAGUUUUCUAGAAGGUUGUGAUCUAGAAUGAGCCACUGCAGAUCAGUUACAUUCUCAAAGGCCUUUUCAUCAAUAUGGUCAAUCUGGUUAUUCCUAAGGUAAAGAUACUUGAUUCCAGGAGGCACCAUUGGUACACUUUUCAAUUUCAGCUCAUCACAGUACAUGGCACUUGGGUAGCUUUCAGGGCAGUUACAUUCUGGUGCACAGUUUGGUGAUGAUUGCCCAUAAAUUGAUAGGGGAAAAUCAUAAUCAUAGUACUGGCCACUGGUACCACCAAUCAAUGCCAGGAAGAGAGUAAAUGCACUUAGACUCAUUUUUGGCAAAUGGUUUGAAUCCUUACUGUCUUGACACUGCUUUCGUUAAUUCUUAAAGCAGAUGCACUAUGGACAAGAAUCCACCAAUAUAUGCUGUGAACUCUGU
This 1666-nucleotide long non-coding RNA is filed under the name Homo sapiens (human). RNAcentral's name for it is "LNC_000852". The record is from RNAcentral. Lineage: Eukaryota; Metazoa; Chordata; Mammalia; Primates; Hominidae.